This 253-nucleotide ribosomal RNA is filed under the name uncultured bacterium. Its description in RNAcentral is "partial 16S ribosomal RNA". It matches the Rfam family "Bacterial small subunit ribosomal RNA", at positions 524 to 776 of the family's 1533-position model. The record is from RNAcentral.
GACAGAGGGUGCAAACGUUGCUCGGAAUUACUGGGCGUAAAGCGCGUGUAGGCGGGUUUGCAAGUCAGAUGUGAAAUCCCCGGGCUCAACCCGGGAACUGCAUUUGAAACUGUGAGUCUUGAGUGUCGGAGAGGAAAGCGGAAUUCCUGGUGUAGAGGUGAAAUUCGUAGAUAUCAGGAGGAACACCGGUGGCGAAGGCGGCUUUCUGGACGACAACUGACGCUGAGACGCGAAAGCGUGGGGAGCAAACAGG